GCCGGGUAUGGUGGCAUGUGCCUGUAGUCCCAGCUACUCGGGAGGCUGAGGUGGGAGGAUCGCUUGAGCCCAGGAGUUCUGGGCUGUAGUGUGCUACGCCGAUCGGGUGUCUGCACUAAGUUUGGCAUCAAUAUGGUGACCUCCCGGGAGCAGGGGACCACCAGGUUGCCUAAUGAGGGGUGAACCGGCCAAGGUCGGAAAAGGAACAGGUCAGAACUCCCAUGCUGAUCAGUAGUGGGAUCAUGCCUGUGAAAAGCCAUUGCACGCCAGCCUGGGCGACAUAGUGAGACCCUGUUUCU
RNAcentral lists this signal recognition particle RNA (299 nucleotides) under Saimiri boliviensis boliviensis (Bolivian squirrel monkey). RNAcentral's name for it is "Metazoan signal recognition particle RNA (ENSSBOG00000015063.1)". It matches the Rfam family "Metazoan signal recognition particle RNA". Rfam says of the family: The signal recognition particle (SRP) is a universally conserved ribonucleoprotein. Lineage: Eukaryota; Metazoa; Chordata; Mammalia; Primates; Cebidae. The record is from RNAcentral.